This 725-nucleotide long non-coding RNA is filed under the name Panax ginseng (ginseng). RNAcentral describes it as "long non-coding RNA (PGIN_LNC003158)". Lineage: Eukaryota; Viridiplantae; Streptophyta; Magnoliopsida; Apiales; Araliaceae. The record is from RNAcentral.
AAAAAAGUGCUCAGUUGGAGAGGACACACGCCAGAAAAUUGAGUACUGCUCCACGGCAGAAAAUUAAGUGCUCUGUUUCUUUGAGAUUAAUACUCGGAACAGAGAGGAACGAAAACAGUGAGUGCAUGCAGUAAAUUGAGAGAUUUGUCAUCAUUUUUUUGUAUCAAUUAAUUGCUUGAAGAUUUUAAUUAAUUUGAAGGUUUUGAGUGGUGAGAUAAUUUGAGUUUUCACUCAAAUUGAGGUAUUUUUGUAUUCUCUCAAUUUCUUAAUAUUUCAAGUUUUUAGUUAUAAAACUUGGAAAGAGUUUGUAUUCACAGUUGAUUAUAGUGGAAUUUUUCGGAGUUUGGCCUGUGGUUUUUACCUCUUAGUUUUAGAGGGUUUUCCACGUAAAUUUUGGUGUCUUGUGAUUGGUUUAUUUUUCGAAUUAUUAUUUUAUGUGAUUAUAAUUUAUUUGGUGGAAUUGCAUAAUUUGUUUGGCGUGAUUUAUUUUAUCAAAGACAGUGAUCAAUUGGAGGAGUUUUUUCAACAAAGUGGUAUCAAAGCAAGGUUCUUUGCGCAGUUGGUUUUUGAUAAAUUGAAUGGAGGAAUCAAGCGGCGCCAUGAUUAAAUUGACCUCAUCUAAUUUUUUGAUCUGGAAACCUAGAAUGGAAGAUAUCCUUUACUGCAAGGAUUUGUAUGAUCCAUUGGAGCUUAAUGGGAAAAAGCCAGCGCACAAGACUGAGGGU